UUCUUCAAGAAAAAUUUUUAGGAAAGUUAAUUAAUUAGAAGGAACUCGGCAAGUUUAGUUGCUUCGCCUGUUUAUCAAAAACAUGGCUCUUUGCUUAUAUAAAUAUAAAGAGUCGAGCCUGCCCAGUGAAUUUUUUUAACGGCCGCGGUACUCUGACCGUGCAAAGGUAGCAUAAUCAUUUGCCUUAUAAUUGAAGGCUAGUAUGAAUGGUUUAACGAAAGCAAUACUGUCUCCUUUUUAUUUUCAAGAACUUAACUUUUAGGUGAAGAGGCCUAAAUUUUAUUGAAGGACAAGAAGACCCUGUCGAGCUUAAAAGAUGCCAUAGAAGUCUGAUAUAUUUUAAAAUAAAUUUUCUAUUAAGCUUUUUAGUUGGGGCGACUAAGGAACAAAAAAAGCUUCUUCUUAAUGAUAAACAAGCAUGUUUAGAUCCGAUAAUAAAUGAUUAAAGGAAUUAGUUACCGCAGGGAUAACAGCAUAAUCUCUCUUAAGAGACCUAAUCGAAAGAGGGGGUUGUGACCUCGAUGUUGGACUAGAAUAUCCUGAAGAUGCA
RNAcentral lists this ribosomal RNA (550 nucleotides) under Koreoleptoxis pacificans. RNAcentral describes it as "partial large subunit ribosomal RNA". It matches the Rfam family "Bacterial large subunit ribosomal RNA", at positions 1664 to 2557 of the family's 2925-position model. The record is from RNAcentral. Lineage: Eukaryota; Metazoa; Mollusca; Gastropoda; Pleuroceridae.